This 28-nucleotide non-coding RNA is filed under the name Rattus norvegicus (Norway rat). The record is from RNAcentral. Lineage: Eukaryota; Metazoa; Chordata; Mammalia; Rodentia; Muridae.
GCCAACAGUUAGGGACCAGAGCAUCUGC